Molecule: non-coding RNA, 1954 nt
Organism: Punica granatum (pomegranate)
Lineage: Eukaryota; Viridiplantae; Streptophyta; Magnoliopsida; Myrtales; Lythraceae
Source: RefSeq, a predicted model, not a curated record
CACAACGCCCAUCGCUCCCCAGCCCUGAGUAACGGAAUGGCCCAAAAUUCCCGCCCCCGCCACUCGAUGGAUCCAAACGCGGGCGCCAAAACCGCCGCAACCGCCGUCAUCGCCGGCCGGCGACCUCUCCUCCAGUGCCUAUCCGACAUAGACGCGGCCCUGUCCCGCACCCUCCACCACCACAACUUGUUCCCCCGACCCCUCUUCUUACUGCUCGAGCUCUCCGCUGACUUCCGCCUCUUCUUCCCACUUGCCCUCUCCAUCUUCCUCUCCCCCACCCUAUCCGCCCUCCUCCGGCCCUUUCUCGUCCCCCUCCUUCUCGGUCUCCUCCUCGAUCUGGCCCUGAUCGGCCUCAUCAAGAUCGUCUUCCGCCGUCCCCGCCCUGUCUACAACAAGAACAUGAGCGUCGCCGUCUCCGUCGACCACUACUCCUUCCCCAGCGGCCACUCAUCUCGGGUUUGCUUCGUCGCGGCGUUGUUCUACCUGACGAGUGAGUCUAUAAAGCGCGCCGCUGUCGCUGAUCAUCGGCUGGUUUUGUGGGCUUGGCUAUGGGCCGCGGCAACGUCGGUCUCUAGGGUUUUGCUUGGGCGCCAUUACGCAUUUGAUGUCUUUGUAGGGUCGUGUUUGGGUGUUCUUGAAGGCCUCUUCGCCUUCCAUUAUCUCAGCUUCUAGUAGACUCCGAGGACAAUUUUUCACAGUUCCUCGUGUCCAUGGAUGGUGCUUUAAUACCUUUGGAUUUGUUUGAAAAGUUGUACAUAUCGCUUUACUAAAGCUGAAGAGGUCCUUGUCACUGUUCCCAGUCAAGUGAAGCCACCUUGUUGAUAAGGUGGGACCACUAUGCAUGGGACCUGCUCAUGAAGCAAUAUGAUUUCGGAAAACAAGGACGGCUAGGCAUAAAUACGAGAAAAUGACUCAUGUAUGUGGUAUUGAGAUCCUGAAUGAUGCAUUGCAUGUUUGUCUACCAUAAUGGAGGCCCAGUCAAAGCCCCUAUCGACUGCAGCACCACUCCCCCGCCAGUACAGUUACUUAUGACUCCAUAUCUUUGGCCUGAGCUGCUCUGGUUUUGGUGGAGACCCUUGGCAGAUUCGUAAGGAGUAGAUUAUGGGCAGGCAAUGUCUUCAUCCGCAGGUCCUGCAGCAAUUGUCAAUGAACCUGUACAGUCCCUAUGUACUAUAGUUGGCUCGUGGUGAAAGAAUCUGUCCAGAUUUGGUUCAUGCCAUGCAGCGGGAAGCGAAUCUGGCCGAAUGUGGGGAGAGGGGCCGGUGAGGACCACUGACUGAGAUGGGCCAUUUUGCUAGAUUUUGAAUGGGAGGGAAGGGGUAGGGAGGAAGGGAGGAGGAGAGUUCACAGGUUUUGCUGAGAGAGAUUCAACUGAACCCCACCCAACGACUGUGCAUUUACGUCGCUAUUGAUUGCAACAGAACAUAUAACCUGGGCAGACUGGUUUCAGUCAUAAAAGGGCACUGACACCACUCAUGGAGAAGAAUAUACAUACAUAUAAUAUAUAUAUAUAUAUAUAUAUAUAUAAGAAAUCACAAAAGUGAGGAGAAAUCCUACUGGCGGAAUGAAGACAGUGCGUGGUCAUGUGAGGCCCUGAGGAAAAUAAUGGUCCCCGAACCCGAGCUAUCAUACUCCUGGCAUGAAAUGGGUUUCGGUCGUGCUAUAGCAUUGGAUCGGUUUACGUCCUAAUAGCUAAGUUGAGUUUAGGAUGCCCGAUCCGGGUGGCCCUAGGUUCUCUGGUGGAGAUGCCGUUGGGCAAUGGACAAAAUCGACCUUUCAAACUGUUGGAUUCAAUGUCGACCCGAGGCAUCUUGGGUGGGAGAUACCUUAACCUUCUGGUGGGACACAGUUGGACGUCUCUGUUUUCUGUCAAAUAUUAUCCGCGGUCACGAACUUUGCCCGGAUCUGAUUUGAUUAAUGAAGAGAUUGCUAAUCGGCUGACAUCUUAAAAUUC